GAUGAACGCUGGCGGCGUGCUUAACACAUGCAAGUCGAACGGAAAGGCCGAAGCUUGCUUCGGUACUCGAGUGGCGAACGGGUGAGUAACACGUGGGUGAUCUGCCCUGUACUUCGGGAUAAGCUUGGGAAACUGGGUCUAAUACCGGAUAUGACAAUCUCUUGGAUGGGGUUGUGGAAAGCUUUUGCGGUAUGGGAUGAGCUCGCGGCCUAUCAGCUUGUUGGUGGGGUAAUGGCCUACCAAGGCGUCGACGGGUAGCCGGCCUGAGAGGGUGUACGGCCACAUUGGGACUGAGAGACGGCCCAGACUCCUACGGGAGGCAGCAGGGGGGAAUAUUGCACAAGGGGCGCAAGCCUGAUGCAGCGACGCCGCGUGGGGGAUGACGGCCUUCGGGUUGUAAACUCCUUUCGCAACCGACGAAGCUUUUUGUGACGGUAGGUUGAGAAGAAGCACCGGCUAACUACGUG
Molecule: ribosomal RNA, 467 nt
Filed under: uncultured bacterium
Lineage: Bacteria
Description: partial 16S ribosomal RNA
Rfam family: Bacterial small subunit ribosomal RNA
Source: RNAcentral